This 54-nucleotide ribosomal RNA is filed under the name Euphorbia griseola. Its description in RNAcentral is "partial 5.8S ribosomal RNA". Lineage: Eukaryota; Viridiplantae; Streptophyta; Magnoliopsida; Malpighiales; Euphorbiaceae. The record is from RNAcentral.
CAAGUUGCGCCCUAAGCCUUUCGGCCGAGGGCACCUCUGCCUGGGUGUUAUUCA